UUGGCCUAUACUUAAUGCAAGCCAUCUCCGAUAAUUUAUGUUAAAAACUUAAUAAAUAAUUCGCCCUCAAACUACCUCAAGAUAAGAGA
RNAcentral lists this ribosomal RNA (89 nucleotides) under Ololygon sp. KAV10. RNAcentral's name for it is "partial 16S large subunit ribosomal RNA". The record is from RNAcentral. Lineage: Eukaryota; Metazoa; Chordata; Amphibia; Anura; Hylidae.